ACGGCCGUACCAUGCUGAAUAUACCGGUUCCCGUUAGAUCACCGAAGUCAAGCAUCAUUGGGCGCGGUCAGUACUUGGGAGGGUGACCACCUGGGAACACCGAGUGCCGUUG
RNAcentral lists this ribosomal RNA (112 nucleotides) under Caerostris darwini. The record is from RNAcentral. Lineage: Eukaryota; Metazoa; Arthropoda; Arachnida; Araneae; Araneidae.